This 327-nucleotide ribosomal RNA is filed under the name uncultured eukaryote. Its description in RNAcentral is "partial 18S ribosomal RNA". It matches the Rfam family "Eukaryotic small subunit ribosomal RNA", at positions 1470 to 1796 of the family's 1831-position model. The record is from RNAcentral.
CCCCUAGAUGUUCUGGGCCGCACGCGCGCUACACUGAACAGUUCAACAAGUCUUAACCUUGGCCGAUAGGUCUGGGUAAUCUUUGAACGCUGUUCGUGAUUGGGAUAGACCUUUGCAAUUAUGGGUCUUCAACGAGGAAUUCCUAGUAAGCGCAAGUCAUCAGCUUGCGUUGAUUACGUCCCUGCCCUUUGUACACACCGCCCGUCGCUCCUACCGAUUGAAUGGUCCGGUGAAGCGUUCGGACCGUGGCCUUUGGACGGUUCGCCGUCUGUUGGCUGCGGGAAGUUCGUUAAACCUUAUCAUUUAGAGGAAGGAGAAGUCGUANCA